CUACGGGUCGCAGCAGUGAGGAAUAUUGGUCAAUGGGCGCGAGCCUGAACCAGCCAUCCCGCGUGCAGGAUGACGGCCCUAUGGGUUGUAAACUGCUUUUCUAUGCCAAGAAACCUGAUUACGUGUAAUCAGUUGCCGGUAGCAUAGGAAUAAGCAUCGGCUAACUCCGUGCCAGCAGCCGCGGUAAUACGGAGGAUGCAAGCGUUAUCCGGAUUCAUUGGGUUUAAAGGGUGCGCAGGUGGGCUUGUAAGUCAGUGGUGAAAUGCUGCCGCUUAACGGUAGAACUGCCAUUGAUACUGCGAGUCUUGAGUAUGGUUGAGGUAGGCGGAAUGUGUUGUGUAGCGGUGAAAUGCAUAGAUAUGACACAGAACGCCAAUUGCGAAGGCAGCUUACUAAGCCAUUACUGACGCUGAGGUACGAAAGCGUGGGGAGCGAACAGGAUUAGAUACCCCAGUAGUC
RNAcentral lists this ribosomal RNA (459 nucleotides) under uncultured bacterium. Its description in RNAcentral is "partial 16S ribosomal RNA". It matches the Rfam family "Bacterial small subunit ribosomal RNA", at positions 339 to 795 of the family's 1533-position model. The record is from RNAcentral.